AGCGAACGCUGGCGGCAGGCUUAACACAUGCAAGUCGAGCGGGCCCUUCGGGGUCAGCGGCCGACGGGUGAGUAACGCGCGGGAACGUGCCCUUCGGUUCGGAAUAACUCAGGGAAACUUGAGCUAAUACCGGAUACGCCCUUAUGGGGAAAGGCUUGCUGCCGAAGGAUCGGCCCGCGUCUGAUUAGCUAGUUGGUGAGGUUAUGGCUCACCAAGGCGACGAUCAGUAGCUGGUCUGAGAGGAUGAUCAGCCACACUGGGACUGAGACACGGCCCAGACUCCUACGGGAGGCAGCAGUGGGGAAUAUUGGACAAUGGGGGCAACCCUGAUCCAGCCAUGCCGCGUGAGUGAUGACGGCCUUAGGGUUGUAAAGCUCUUUUCUCCGGGACGAUAAUGACGGUACCGGAGGAAUAAGCCCCGGCUAACUUCGUG
This 433-nucleotide ribosomal RNA is filed under the name uncultured bacterium. RNAcentral describes it as "partial 16S ribosomal RNA". It matches the Rfam family "Bacterial small subunit ribosomal RNA", at positions 29 to 507 of the family's 1533-position model. The record is from RNAcentral.